AAAACUUUCAACAACGGAUCUCUUGGUUCCAGCAUCGAGUGAAGAACGCAGCGAAAUGCGAUAAGUAAUGUGAAUUGCAGAAUUCAGUGAAUCAUCGAAUCUUUGAACGCACAUUGCGCCCCUCGGCAUUCCGGGGGGCAUGCCUGUUCGAGCGUCAUU
Molecule: ribosomal RNA, 159 nt
Filed under: Xanthoparmelia loxodes
Lineage: Eukaryota; Fungi; Ascomycota; Lecanoromycetes; Lecanorales; Parmeliaceae
Description: 5.8S ribosomal RNA
Rfam family: 5.8S ribosomal RNA
About the family: 5.8S ribosomal RNA (5.8S rRNA) is a component of the large subunit of the eukaryotic ribosome. It is transcribed by RNA polymerase I as part of the 45S precursor that also contains 18S and 28S rRNA. Functionally, it is thought that 5.8S rRNA may be involved in ribosome translocation.
Source: RNAcentral